GCGCAGAGGAGGCUGCUACUUGGAUUCAGCUCUUAGAAGCAAUAUUCAAAAAUAAACUUGAGAGAUUUCCUGAUAAGAUCCAAAGAGUUUGCUUUUCUUGAAGAACUGGAUGCUGGCCACAUGGGAUGUGUAUACAUACACUGAAUUAAAGCUGGGUAGAGGCUGCCUGCCGUGGACAGUGCUUACUCCUGUGAGCCGGAGUCCCUGAGAAGUCCACCUCCCCCUGGUCCCUGGGUACUUUUGUGUGACUUUACCACUUCUGGGACGGCAGAUGGGUGUCAGCGUGGCAGGUAGACAUCACCCCUUGUUGCAGCUCUGUGCACUUACUAGUGGUGAGUACUGUGUCGAGGCGAACUCUGAGGCAGAGUCCCCAGUGGCUGGAGGGUGGGGGGUUCCAGGACGUACAGAUAGAACCUGGAGUCAAGGGUCACCCAGUCAAGGAGGGACUGCGGGGACUGGAAAUUGGCAAAGGUGUUGCCUAGCAGCCCUCAGGAUCUCUGCCUCUGGAGUAGAGGGCAGGCACAGUCCUGAGCCUCGCUGUCCCCCAGUUGUCCAGGUCGAUGGUGAGAACUCUGCUGGGCAGACGGGGCUCUUCCUUUCGGCGCUGCUGGGCCACAGCUCUGCCGUGCAGCUCCUGCUGACCUUCGGCGCCAACCCUAACCACCGCUGCCUCGAUGGAAGCACGCCUGUGCACGCAGGUGCCUUCUCGGGCCGCCGCCCGGUGGUGCUGCACCUGUUGCGGGCAGGGGGUGACCUGCGUCUACGUGACCAGCAGGGUCGCACGCCUCGGGACUGGGCAGAGCAGGGUGGUGCCAGGCAGAGCCGGGAGGUGCUGGAGCUGCUAGAGCUAUGCCGAGCCCACGUAGCAGCACUGGUGCAUGGCGGUGCGUUGGCAGCCAGUGCGUCCCUGGGCCAGCUGCAGGCCGGCUCUGUACACCACCUGUGUGGCUCCCUGUGGUUGCCGCGGCUGCUGCGUGCGGACGGGGCACCGAGGCAGGAGCAGACCAGAAGACCCCCCCAGAUCCCAGCCUUGGGGUUUGGCCAGCUGAGCAGCCUGUGGCCACUGGGGCUGCUGACGGGCAUACCCCUCGCGGACCCCAAGGAGCUGCUGCCAGCCCAGGGCGAGCCCGACCGCACCUACGAGAGCAGCUCCCGCACCCUCAUGGCCAACCUCCUGUGGAGGGGCCACCCUGUGACAGCUCGGCAGCUGAAGGUACCGGGAACUCAGCCUGAUGUGCUGUUGGCCGACCUUCAACACUGCAGCACCCUGCACCACCCCAACAUGUUGCUGCUGAUGGCACUGAGCCCCUCGGCGGACCUGUCAGGACUGUGCCUCCUCUUCGAACCCGUGUGGCUGGGCUCCCUGCACGUGGUGCUGCACCCACGGGGACCGAGUCAGGGAGGGCCCCGCACUGUGCCAGGCCUGCCGCCCGGCCACCUGCUGCUGCAGGUGCUGGAGGCCCUGCUGUUCCUGCAGGCCCGCUGGCGUGCUCAUGGCGGCCUUAGCUCUCAUGCCGUGCAGCUGGUACGGCCAGGCCUGGCCAAGGUGGGCAGCCUGGAGCACGGGCGCCCGCUGCACCGAUGCUGGCCGCCGCCCAGGCCACAGCAGGGCUACCCCCGGGGAGGCCCAGGCCCAGGGCUACCCCCGCCUCCUGAACUGUACCCAUGGCUGCCACUUGAGCUCAUCUGCGGUGACGUGCCUGCCGCCACCUCAGAUCUCUACAGCUUCUGCAUCCUGGCCCAGGAGGUCUUCACCGGAGAGCUGCCCUGGGCUGGGAGAAAGGGGCCUGAGGUGAAGGCUAAAUUGGAGGCAGGUGAGAGCCCGGCCCUGGAUCCCCUGGUACCAGCCCCCUACCAGGCCCUGGUUCAGGCUGGGCUGGGCCUAGGGCCCGCUGACCGCUGGGGCAGCCUGCAGAGUACUCGAUACCUGCUGCGGGAGGCCAUGGCCCAGGACUCCACUCCUGAGGUGAGCUCCCGGAAGCAUUGGCCCACACGGUACCUUUCAUCCCAGGGUUCCCUACCAGAGACACUGUACUGUGAGGUGGCUCCCAGAGCCAAGACUAUACCCAGGCCUGUGCCCCCUGUGAUGCCCCUAGGCCCCUCCCCAUGCCAGGCCCCGGAGACUCCUGAGACCCCAGGCCACAGCAGAGUCCAGAGGGGCACAGCCUGGGACUCAGGCAGCAGCUUGACUCUAGGCAGCCUGAGCCCCAGCCCCAGCUUCUACCCAGGCUUCAGCCCCGCAGCCAAGGUCAGCCUGCACCGCUGCCUGGAGCCCAGCUCAACACCAUCAGGACUCAGCCUCCCUUCUGGGGACCCAGGGCUCUUUGAAGGAGUUUGAGAGGAAGUGCUCAGUCACGAUUCAAGCCCUGCAGGGACUGUGGCGUCACACACACAGGGCUGCCCUGCGGGGCCCCUCUACCGUGUGAGCCUAGCCCCUGCCUGCUGACCCACAAGGAGGCCUCCCACACCCUGGAGGCUGCUGGCAGGGAAGGCCAUGAGGGCAGGUGAAGCAGAGGACCCUGAGCCUAUCCCCUGCCCCAUGCCACCUUCCCGGGCACCCUCCAUGGCCACUGGGUGGCAGCUCCAGCCUUUUUCCCCUGCAGGUGCCCAGUCCCGAGCUGAUCAAAGGAGAUCUCUUCUCCAGCCUGCAGAAGAUGGACCUGCUGGAGGAGGUCAUAGCAGAGCUGCAAGGUGG
Molecule: RNA transcript, 2695 nt
Organism: Prionailurus viverrinus (fishing cat)
Lineage: Eukaryota; Metazoa; Chordata; Mammalia; Carnivora; Felidae
Gene name: inactive serine/threonine-protein kinase TEX14-like
Exons: 14
Source: RefSeq, a predicted model, not a curated record